Molecule: ribosomal RNA, 253 nt
Filed under: uncultured bacterium
Lineage: Bacteria
Description: partial 16S ribosomal RNA
Rfam family: Bacterial small subunit ribosomal RNA
Source: RNAcentral
GACGAACCGUGCGAACGUUAUUCGGAAUCACUGGGCUUAAAGCGCGUGUAGGCGGGCCGCCGCGUCGGCUGCUGAAAUCCCCGGCUCAACCGGGAACGGGCACCGAUACGGGCGGCCUCGAGGGAGGUAGGGCAUGUGGAACUUCCGGUGGAGCGGUGAAAUGCGUAGAUAUCGGAAGGAACGCCGGUGGCGAAAGCGACGUGCUGGACCUCUUCUGACGCUGGAGGCGCGAAAGCCUAGGGGAGCAAACGGG